Molecule: ribosomal RNA, 327 nt
Filed under: uncultured eukaryote
Lineage: Eukaryota
Description: partial 18S ribosomal RNA
Rfam family: Eukaryotic small subunit ribosomal RNA
Source: RNAcentral
CCCUUAGAUGUUCUGGGCCGCACACGCGCUACACUGAAGGAGGCAGCGUGUACUCCUGGAUCGAAAGAUUUGGGUAACCCGCGAAUCUCCUUCGUGCUAGGGAUUGAGGUUUGCAAUUAUCCUUCAUGAACGAGGAAUUCCCAGUAAGUGCAAGUCAUAAGCUUGCGCUGACUACGUCCCUGCCCUUUGUACACACCGCCCGUCGCUACUACCGAUUGAAUGAUUUAGUGAGGACUUCGGACUGGGACCGAUGCGGCUUUCGGGCUGCGUCGGUAUUCUGGAAAGAUGUCCAAACUGGAUCAUUUAGAGGAAGUAAAAGUCGUAACA